UACGGAGGGUGCAAGCGUUCUCCGGAUUCACUGGGUUUAAAGGGUGCGUAGGCGGGUUUUUAAGUCAGCGGUGAAAGCUCCGAGCUUAACUCGGAAAUUGCCGUUGAUACUAUUAAUCUUGAAUUUAGUUGAGGUGGGCGGAAUGUGUAGUGUAGCGGUGAAAUGCUUAGAUAUUACACAGAACACCUAUUGCGAAGGCAGCUCGCUAAACUAAUAUUGACGCUGAGGCACGAAAGCGUGGGGAUCAAACAGG
RNAcentral lists this ribosomal RNA (253 nucleotides) under uncultured bacterium. RNAcentral's name for it is "partial 16S ribosomal RNA". It matches the Rfam family "Bacterial small subunit ribosomal RNA", at positions 524 to 776 of the family's 1533-position model. The record is from RNAcentral.